UAAUAGGAAUAGAAAAAGGGCAGUUGCUUGCAACAACUACCCAAUGUAAAACCGUUAAAGACGGUGACAGAAAAUAACUGUUAACUGAACU
RNAcentral lists this small RNA (91 nucleotides) under Streptococcus equi. RNAcentral describes it as "RNA anti-toxin A". It matches the Rfam family "RNA anti-toxin A". Lineage: Bacteria; Bacillati; Bacillota; Bacilli; Lactobacillales; Streptococcaceae. The record is from RNAcentral.